AUGAUAGAUAGAGAUGUGGCUACAACAAUUCCAUAUCUCUCACUGGCACAGAAUACUGGCUGGAAGAAGAGAAACAGCUGUACUCUAGUGCCGUCCCAGAGGAAUAAGGAAGACCUUCCUCAGAUGGAAUUUUGUUGCUGUUUGCAUCUAUUGGGAGAGUUCUCAAAGGUAUUAAGGAUUAUCAUUAGACGAUGCUCAUCAAUCAUUAUUAUUGUGGAUAAGCUUCAUUUGAUCUGCCCUUCAAGAACAUCAAAGAUGGAAAGAGAGGAGUCAUUUUACCUACUGGAAGCUACAUUGAGCAGUGAUCAGGGAGCCUCUGCUGAUGAGAAUGCUUUCAACAUUCUUCUCCAUCAUAUCCAGAUGGAGCCAGACUUAGAAACCUUCUAGUUCUCUGAGUAAGAUCAUCAAACAGAUGAAAAAUAAGAAAGCAUCUGGAAAUGAUAUCAUUCCUGCCAAAUGUUCACACUAGAAAAAAAGUAGCUCAUGUAAUGUGUCUGUAUUCUCCUCAUAAAAUAUAAGAAUAAAAGAGAAAAUGCUACAUGUCCCCAGGGACAAGGAGAUCAUCAGUUUUACAUAAUGAUAUACAUCCUAUGACAGGCUAGAUAUCCAUUCCUGAACCAGCUGCAGAGUAUAUGUUUUAGAUAAAAGAUAGUUUUCAUAAAUAAGUAUCGAUGAGGAAACUCCACAUUCUGUUUUGGAAAGACAAUAUGUUCAUGUCUUAAAGGUGGAUGUUUUGACAUUGAGAUUUCACCUCUCUCUCUACAGUGGAUUUCUGUUUCAUCUAGUUUCUAGUGCUUUUCUUAGGAAACACUGUAUAAAUAUCUUGCAUCCACUUUGAGAUGUUUUUGUUGAGGAAAGCAGCUCAUCAAGGGCUUAGUGACUUGAAAUGAACCUGAAAGUUCCUGCUUUAGAAUAUAACUUCGUUUGAUUUCUGAGCGAUGAGUAAAAUUUUCAAAACUGUAGAGACUACUUUGCAUAUGUCCUUUUCACUAGAAGGUUUGGGAAGAACCUUACUUACUGGAGGUGCACAGGAUUCAGAACCAGAAAUCCUAAGCAGAAAUCCUAUUUUUACCAUUUUCUGAGAAAUUAUUGAACCUCUGUUUUAUCAUCUCCAAACGAGAUAGCAUCAUAACACUAAAGGAAAAGGGCUUUGUAACUGUAAUACACUAUCACAGUCUCAUUCCUUUCUCCUAGUAUGCACUUUUGAAAAACAUUCAACUAAUCCUAAUGUAUUUUUUAAAGUUCACAAAGACUUUCACAUGCAGAUUUCCAUGGGAUGCUCUUGACAGACUCUGAAGCAGAUAUUGCUUUGUUAGUUGUUAUGUUGUUAGUUCUCUGAAAUUAUAAAGUAUUCCUUUUGGCACAGUGCUUUGUAAUUAUAGUUGUCUUAAUGUGUGUAUUUGAUAGGUAGUUGUAUUAGUCAAAUGUUGUCAUAAUAAUGCUG
This 1444-nucleotide long non-coding RNA is filed under the name Capra hircus (goat). RNAcentral's name for it is "lncRNA (ENSCHIG00000007151.1)". The record is from RNAcentral. Lineage: Eukaryota; Metazoa; Chordata; Mammalia; Artiodactyla; Bovidae.